GCUGAAUUUAAGCAUAUUAAUAAGCGGAGGAAAAGAAACUAACAAGGAUUCCCUUAGUAACGGCGAGUGAAACGGGAAAAGCUCAAACCUGAAAUCUGUCUGGAGAAAUCCAAGACCGAGUUGUGUUUUGGGAGACGAUGUCUGGCAUUGUUCACUUGGGGUAAAAGUCUCUUGGAAAAAGAGCAUCAUAGAGGGUGAAAAUCCCGUAUAUGACCUCAAUUGACUAGGCUUUGUCUAGGUUCAAUCAAACAAAAACUUCGUAAGAAGCGUAUGUUUGAUUUGGGUCUAUACAAAGCCCUAGUAUUGUGUAACAAUGUCAAUAUGUCAUCGUCUCGUAGAGUCGGGUUGUUUGAGAAUGCAGCCUAAAGUGGGUGGUAGAUUCCAUCUAAAGCUAAAUACAAGUAAGAGACCGAUAGCGAACAAGUACCGUGAGGG
RNAcentral lists this ribosomal RNA (435 nucleotides) under uncultured eukaryote. RNAcentral describes it as "eukaryotic LSU rRNA". It matches the Rfam family "Eukaryotic large subunit ribosomal RNA", at positions 27 to 359 of the family's 3401-position model. The record is from RNAcentral.